Molecule: ribosomal RNA, 492 nt
Filed under: uncultured bacterium
Lineage: Bacteria
Description: partial 16S ribosomal RNA
Rfam family: Bacterial small subunit ribosomal RNA
Source: RNAcentral
AGUGAACGCUGGCGGUAGGCCUAACACAUGCAAGUCGAACGGCAGCACAGUAAGAGCCUGCUCUUACGGGUGGCGAGUGGCGGACGGGUGAGGAAUACAUCGGAAUCUACUUUUUCGUGGGGGAUAACGUAGGGAAACUUACGCUAAUACCGCAUACGACCUACGGGUGAAAGCAGGGGAUCUUCGGACCUUGCGCGAUUGAAUGAGCCGAUGUCGGAUUAGCUAGUUGGCGGGGUAAAGGCCCACCAAGGCGACGAUCCGUAGCUGGUCUGAGAGGAUGAUCAGCCACACUGGAACUGAGACACGGUCCAGACUCCUACGGGAGGCAGCAGUGGGGAAUAUUGGACAAUGGGCGCAAGCCUGAUCCAGCCAUACCGCGUGGGUGAAGAAGGCCUUCGGGUUGUAAAGCCCUUUUGUUGGGAAAGAAAAGCAGCAGGUUAAUACCCCGCUGUUCUGACGGUACCCAAAGAAUAAGCAUCGGCUAACUUCGUG